UCCAGCUCUCACCUACUCUAACCUUGCCAAACUGAGAAUGCAGCAGGUGAGAUAAGGAGUAUGUGAUCAAUGCCUUGGAUCUAUUGAGUGAUGGUUUUUCAGAACCAUAUUUAUUGCUGCACCUGGACCUCCACAGCUCCCAGCAAACCAAAGGAGGCAUGACCUUAGUAAUAUAUGAAGCCACAGGAUUAAGGACCUUGUGGUUCCA
RNAcentral lists this long non-coding RNA (208 nucleotides) under Nicotiana benthamiana. RNAcentral's name for it is "long non-coding RNA (NBEN_LNC013403)". Lineage: Eukaryota; Viridiplantae; Streptophyta; Magnoliopsida; Solanales; Solanaceae. The record is from RNAcentral.